RNAcentral lists this ribosomal RNA (301 nucleotides) under uncultured bacterium. RNAcentral describes it as "partial 16S ribosomal RNA". It matches the Rfam family "Bacterial small subunit ribosomal RNA", at positions 509 to 807 of the family's 1533-position model. The record is from RNAcentral.
CAGUAGCCGCGGGAAUACGUAGGUGGCAAGCGUUGUCCGGAAUUAUUGGGCGUAAAGGGCUCGCAGGCGGUUUCUUAAGUCUGAUGUGAAAGCCCCCGGCUCAACCGGGGUGGGUCAUUGGAAACUGGGAAACUUGAGUGCAGAAGAGGAGAGUGGAAUACCACGUGUAGCGGUGAAAUGCGUAGAGAUGUGGAGGAACACCAGUGGCGAAGGCGACUCUCUGGUCUGUAACUGACGCUGAGGAGCGAAAGCGUGGGGAGCGAACAGGAUUAGAUACCCGUGUAGUCCCUGUCUCUUAUAC